Molecule: ribosomal RNA, 460 nt
Filed under: uncultured bacterium
Lineage: Bacteria
Description: partial 16S ribosomal RNA
Rfam family: Bacterial small subunit ribosomal RNA
Source: RNAcentral
CCUACGGGUGGCAGCAGUGAGGAAUAUUGGUCAAUGGGCGCGAGCCUGAACCAGCCAAGCAGCGUGAAGGAUGACUGCCCUAUGGGUUGUAAACUUCUUUUAUAAAGGAAUAAAGUGAGGCACGCGUGCCUUUCUGUAUGUACUUUACGAAUAAGGAUCGGCUAACUCUGUGCCAGCAGCCGCGGUAAUACGGAGGAUUCGAGCGUUAUCCGGAUUCAUUGGGUGUAAAGGGAGCGUAGAUGGGUUGUUAAGUCAGUUGUGAAAGGUUGCGGCUCAACCGUAAAAUUGCAAUUGAUACUGGCAGUCUUGAGUACAGGUGGGGUAGGCGGAAUUCGUGGUGUAGCAGUGAAAUGCUUAGAUAUCGCGAAGAACACCGAUGGCGAAGGCAGCUUACUAGACUGCCACUGACGUUGAGGCUCGAAGGUGAGGGUAGCAAACAGGAUUAGAUACCCGUGUAGUC